AUACUUACCGGGCACAGGAGAGACUGUGAUCACCAAGAUGGUUUUCUCAGGGCGGGGCUCUUCUGUUGCUCUCGGGACGUGCUGACCCCUGCGAUUUCCCCGUGUGUGGGAAACUACCGCAGAGUUUGUGCUAAUGGGGGACUACCUUCGUGCUCUUCCCCU
Camelus dromedarius (Arabian camel) is the source of this 162-nucleotide small nuclear RNA. Its record names the gene U1. It matches the Rfam family "U1 spliceosomal RNA". From Rfam's summary of the family: U1 is a small nuclear RNA (snRNA) component of the spliceosome (involved in pre-mRNA splicing). Its 5' end forms complementary base pairs with the 5' splice junction, thus defining the 5' donor site of an intron. Lineage: Eukaryota; Metazoa; Chordata; Mammalia; Artiodactyla; Camelidae. The record is from Ensembl.